RNAcentral lists this ribosomal RNA (253 nucleotides) under uncultured bacterium. RNAcentral describes it as "partial 16S ribosomal RNA". It matches the Rfam family "Bacterial small subunit ribosomal RNA", at positions 524 to 776 of the family's 1533-position model. The record is from RNAcentral.
UACGUAGGUGGCGAGCGUUGUCCGGAUUUACUGGGCGUAAAGGGCGUGCAGGCGGUCUGUUAAGUCUAGGGUGAAAGCUCCCGGCUCAACUGGGAGAGGUCCUUGGAUACUGGCGGACUUGAGGGAGGCAGAGGAGAAUGGAAUUCCCGGUGUAGUGGUGAUAUGCGUAGAUAUCGGGAGGAACACCAGUGGCGAAAGCGGCUCUCUGGUUCAAUACUGACACUGAGAUGCGAAAGCGUGGGGAGCGAACGGG